CUCAAACUUGGCUGCACAUCAGGUUCACUUCAAAAGCUUCAGGAAAAGCUAGUGCCUUGGGCCCACCCCAGAGACAGGUAUAGCUCAAGAAACCCGGCAGGAGAGUCAAUCACUGCUCAAGGUCAUGACGGGAGUAAAUGGCAGAGCCAGCAAUGCACUACAGACUUUGCGACCGACCAAGUCCAGUUCCCCUCUCACUGCCCCACAGGGGUCCGUCCUAGGCCAGGCUCGGAGGAGACAAGAAGGGAGGAACCCAAUGUGUUCUUUCUUCCCGCGGUGAAAGCUGCCUCCCAGGCCAGCAAGAGCAGCCCAGAAGAAGUGCCCCACUCUCCCAGGGAUCAGCUGACUUCAAGUGGAUGGGAGGCUGCGCUUAUUAACAAAAUGAGAAAUCUGAUCUACGGAAAGAAAACACUACGUGAGGA
This 422-nucleotide long non-coding RNA is filed under the name Homo sapiens (human). RNAcentral's name for it is "HSALNT0405055". The record is from RNAcentral. Lineage: Eukaryota; Metazoa; Chordata; Mammalia; Primates; Hominidae.